UAAUAGCGUAUAUUAAAGUUGUUGCAGUUAAAAAGCUCGUAGUCGGAUGUCGGGCUCGGGCAGGCUGUCGGCUUCGGUCGGACGGCAGGCUCGGGUCUUUCUGCCUGAGGAUCCAUCUCAUUCACUUGGGGUGGGGACGCAGGCCGUUUACUUUGAAAAAAUUAGAGUGUUCAAAGCAGGCCUACGCUUGAAUACAUUAGCAUGGAAUAAUGGAAUAGGACUUUGGUGCUAUUUUGUUGGUUUAUGGGACCGAAGUAAUGAUUAACAGGGACAGUUGGGGCCGUUUAUAUUUCGUUGUCAGAGGUGAAAUUCUUGGAUUUACGAAAGAUAAACUUCUGCGAAAGCAUUCGGCAAGGAUGUUUNCAUUG
Molecule: ribosomal RNA, 368 nt
Filed under: uncultured eukaryote
Lineage: Eukaryota
Description: partial 18S ribosomal RNA
Rfam family: Eukaryotic small subunit ribosomal RNA
Source: RNAcentral